This 592-nucleotide ribosomal RNA is filed under the name uncultured Bacillota bacterium. RNAcentral describes it as "bacterial SSU rRNA". It matches the Rfam family "Bacterial small subunit ribosomal RNA", at positions 8 to 617 of the family's 1533-position model. The record is from RNAcentral. Lineage: Bacteria; Bacillati; Bacillota.
AGAGUUUGAUCCUGGCUCAGAUUGAACGCUGGCGGCAUGGAUUAGGCAUGCAAGUCGAACGAUGAAGCAGUGCUUGCACUGUGAAUUAGUGGCGAAAGGGUGAGUAACACGUGAGUAAUCUGCCUUCAACUCGGGGAUAGCCUUUGGAAACGAAGAUUAAUACCGGAUGUGAAGUUUAAAUCGCAUGAUUUUAACUUUAAAAUUUUUUGGUUGGAGAUGGGCUCGCGUCCCAUUAGCUAGUUGGUAAGGUAACGGCUUACCAAGGCAACGACGGGUAGGUGGUCUGAGAGGAUGGUCACCCACACUGGAACUGAGACACUGUCCAGACUCCUACGGGAGGCUGCAGUCGAGAAUCUUCCGCAAUGGGCGAAAGCCUGACGGAGCAAUGCCGCGUGAAUGAUGAAGGCCUUCGGGUUGUAAAAUUCUGUCACCUGGGACGAAAUUUGACGGUACCAGGAGAGGAAGUGACGGCUAACUACGUGCCAGCAGCCGCGGUAAUACGUAGGUCACGAGCGUUAAUCGGAUUUAUUGGGCGUAAAGGGUCCGCAGGGGGUUUUAUAAGUUUGACGUGAAAUGUCGAGGCUCAACCUCG